RNAcentral lists this ribosomal RNA (497 nucleotides) under uncultured bacterium. RNAcentral describes it as "partial 16S ribosomal RNA". It matches the Rfam family "Bacterial small subunit ribosomal RNA", at positions 28 to 507 of the family's 1533-position model. The record is from RNAcentral.
GAUGAACGCUGGCGGCGUGCCUAAUACAUGCAAGUCGAGCGAACAGACGAGGAGCUUGCUCCUCUGACGUUAGCGGCGGACGGGUGAGUAACACGUGGAUAACCUACCUAUAAGACUGGGAUAACUUCGGGAAACCGGAGCUAAUACCGGAUAAUAUAUUUAACCGCAUGGUUCAAUAGUGAAAGACGGUUUUGCUGUCACUUAUAGAUGGAUUCGCGCCGCAUUAGCUAUUUGGUAAGUUAACGCCUUACCAAGGCGACGAUGCGUAGCCGACCUGAGAGGGUGAUCGGCCACACUGGAACUGAGACACGGUCCAGACUCCUACGGGAGGCAGCAGUAGGGAAUCUUCCGCAAUGGGCGAAAGCCUGACGGAGCAACGCCGCGUGAGUGAUGAAGGUCUUCGGAUCGUAAAACUCUGUUAUUAGGGAAGAACAAAUGUGUAAGUGACUAUGCACGUCUUGACGGUACCUAAUCAGAAAGCCACGGCUAACUACGUG